Molecule: ribosomal RNA, 539 nt
Filed under: uncultured bacterium
Lineage: Bacteria
Description: bacterial SSU rRNA
Rfam family: Bacterial small subunit ribosomal RNA
Source: RNAcentral
GAGGAAUAUUGGUCAAUGGACGGGAGUCUGAACCAGCCAAGUAGCGUGCAGGAUGACGGCCCUAUGGGUUGUAAACUGCUUUUGUAUGGGGAUAAAGUCAAUCACGUGUGAUUGUUUGCAGGUACCAUACGAAUAAGGACCGGCUAAUUCCGUGCCAGCAGCCGCGGUAAUACGGAAGGUCCGGGCGUUAUCCGGAUUUAUUGGGUUUAAAGAGAGCGUAGGCCGGAGAUUAAGUGUGUUGUGAAAUGUAGACGCUCAACGUCUGACUUGCAGCGCAUACUGGUUUCCUUGAGUACGCACAACGUUGGCGGAAUUCGUCGUGUAGCGGUGAAAUGCUUAGAUAUGACGAAGAACUCCGAUUGCGAAGGCAGCUGACGGGAGCGCAACUGACGCUUAAGCUCGAAGGUGCGGGUAUCGAACAGGAUUAGAUACCCUGGUAGUCCGCACAGUAAACGAUGGAUGCCCGCUGUUGGUACCUGGUAUCAGCGGCUAAGCGAAAGCAUUAAGCAUCCCACCUGGGGAGUACGCCGGCAACGGUG